UGGCUGAAUGGAUACUCCUCUAGUGAAUUGUUUUCUAUAAUUCAGAACCUGGAAUGCUACCUGCAGAUUAUGGAAGAUGGUAAAAUUCAUAACCUGGCAAAAGGGAAAAUAUUCACAUAAUUCUCUCGGCAAGAAACCAAAUCAAACUAUUCUUUUUAAUUGCAGGCUUUCUUCUUCGCAGAUGGCAGAGGACAAUAUGCUGGGUCUGCAAUAACACUGACUCAAAAUUCCUUUCUAUUUGUAAGAUAACUUCCUAAAGAUUGCAAGCAAAAGGAAGUCAGAGAACAAAGCAAUGUCAAGUAUGCACAUGUCACAACACAAUAUGCUGAUUCCAAGCCUUUGGAAACAUGCUGAAAGACAUGUCUGGAAAAAAAAAAAAAAAAACAACAGGGAAGUGCUUCCACACAGGCUUUCAGCAUGAAAACAACAGCUGAAUGUGCCCGUUCCCAUCAGGAAAAAAUACCCUGAAAUAACAAAAGGUGCUGGAGAGCUAGAAGUGAAAUCAUCAGAUGGCAAGAACCCUCUUUUGUCUGCUCUUACAUAGGCUCUACUCCCAGUGCAUAGUAAAGCAAGGGAUCAAGCUGGAGCAGUGUUUGACUGCAAGGUGCCAAGAAGACCAAGAAAAAUGGAAUGUAUAAACAGGGCUCUCUUACAGUGAAGGACUAACAGAACAAAACAGGAGGAAAGCAAACAAAGGGCCACACUUUCAGAUAAUGUAUCUGCAGGAAUGCAAACUCUGUGCAUUCCUGAUCACUCCUGUAGGUACUGAAGGCACAAAAGACAGACUCUUGAGGAGAAGGGGCAUACACAGUGUUUCUUUGUGAAACAGCCUGCACACAUUUCCCCCCCCAUAACCACAGGUAAAUCUUUGCAUCAUUGGUGUACUCUAAAGAUGUAAGUGCUUUCAAUUAGGUCUGUCACUGUUGGCUAGCUCAGUCCAAUUUUCUGUCAAUUUAAGAGAUGGAGUGGAGUAAAUUCCAGAGGAAAAUUAUGGGAUCCCAGUGAGGGACGACAUGCACAAUGAAACACUGCAGGCAUCUGACUAAGGAUGCUACAAAAUAUCACCUCCACAGGCAGAGGGAUAUCCUGCCUAAAUUCAAAUGAAGCAGCACCCAUGAAUGAAUAAUAACAUGCCUAGGCAUUUUUCUUUUAAAACCGAGAGAGGGAAAUAAAAACUAUCCCAAGUUUUUUC
Molecule: long non-coding RNA, 1192 nt
Filed under: Taeniopygia guttata (zebra finch)
Lineage: Eukaryota; Metazoa; Chordata; Aves; Passeriformes; Estrildidae
Description: lncRNA (ENSTGUG00000022213.1)
Source: RNAcentral